GAUGAACGCUGGCGGCGUGCUUAACACAUGCAAGUCGAGCGAUGAAGUUUCCUUCGGGAAACGGAUUAGCGGCGGACGGGUGAGUAACACGUGGGUAACCUGCCUCAUAGAGUGGAAUAGCCUUCCGAAAGGAAGAUUAAUACCGCAUAAUGUUGAAAGAUGGCAUCAUAAUUUAACCAAAGGAGCAAUCCGCUAUGAGAUGGACCCGCGGCGCAUUAGCUAGUUGGUGGGGUAACGGCCUACCAAGGCGACGAUGCGUAGCCGACCUGAGAGGGUGAUCGGCCACAUUGGGACUGAGACACGGCCCAGACUCCUACGGGAGGCAGCAGUGGGGAAUAUUGCACAAUGGGGGAAACCCKGAUGCAGCAACGCCGCGUGAGUGAUGAAGGUUUUCGGAUUGUAAAGCUCUGUCUUUGGGGAAGAUAAUGACGGUACC
Molecule: ribosomal RNA, 436 nt
Filed under: uncultured bacterium
Lineage: Bacteria
Description: bacterial SSU rRNA
Rfam family: Bacterial small subunit ribosomal RNA
Source: RNAcentral